UCGCAGUAUUCAUAACGCCAGCUGCCUCUGCCUCUGCCUUACCUUCUUCAGAUAAAUCAAUCGAAAAAGACCAAGCCCUAUUGCAUUUCUGUGUCAAAUCUUAAGUAUAAUUGUUGGUUUGAGAGGUUGAAGCUGCCAGCAUGAUCUGGUAACAAGAAGUUGCCAUUGUAAAACUGAUUUGAAGUUAGUGUUAGGUUCGACCAGGUCAUCUAGUAGCUUCAAUCACUCACCAACAAUAUCAAAAUUACUCAAGAUUCCUCUUCUUCUAUAUACGUUAAUUGCUUGGAGUCAGGUUACUAUGUGCACUUAUUAGUAAAAUUUGUUCCAUUUAUUUAUUCUUACCUCAUUCUGCCAUUUUUCUAAGAUUACUGACAUUUUGAUGAACAAAAUUAAUAUGGAAAAUAACCAAAUAUUAUAACGAAUCCAUUUGUUUGCAUCCUCAACUCAAACACUACAAACACUAAAACGCAAUGGUAUAGAAAUUUCUUAAUUUUGUUCGUUUAUUUGUUGAUUGUCUGUGAAGCACCAACAAGCUAUUGACGUCGGUGUAUUGAUUUUCAGUGUGCCAGUGUCCAACACCUACUGGAUACCAGUACGUCUCCGACACUGUGUUAACACAUGUUGGAGGUCCCUUAUAGCGAUUCUUGGUCAAGAAGAAAUGAAGAAGGCUGAGGGCUGCUGUGGAUGGUUUGGUCAAGAAGAAAGAAAAAUCAGGCGGCUGAAAAGUAGAAGGCUAAGCUGCUGCUUCGACGGGAAGAAGAAAUCCAUAAUUUGUUGAAGAAAAGUGAAGAGGCGUGGUUAUACGUAAAUGAAAAAAAUAUUGGCUCAAUUUUUUUAACAACACAUUUACUACUUUACCCCCAUUUCAAAAACAAAUUAUAGGUUUUAUAAUAUAGUUAUAAGGGCAUAAUAAUUUUUAUUUAUACACUCUAUUUUAACUGAUGUUGAAUUUCUCAAUCUUCG
Molecule: long non-coding RNA, 963 nt
Filed under: Olea europaea subsp. europaea
Lineage: Eukaryota; Viridiplantae; Streptophyta; Magnoliopsida; Lamiales; Oleaceae
Rfam family: MIR167 microRNA precursor family (bases 115-233)
Source: RNAcentral